Long non-coding RNA from Felis catus (domestic cat), 3298 nucleotides. RefSeq lists it as uncharacterized. The record is from RefSeq and is a predicted model, not a curated record. The transcript has 4 exons. NCBI's taxonomy places the organism in Eukaryota, Metazoa, Chordata, Mammalia, Carnivora, Felidae.
UCUCGGGGCCGUAGUGCAGGUUUCUCCUGGUUCCUCGGUCUCCCGAGCCCCGCGCGGAGGGCGGCGGGUGUCGCGCCGGAGGUGGCGGUGUCCCGCGUGCGCUUUCGGCCCGCUCUCCCUGGACAGGACACCGCUCAGUGAAGUCGUCAGGGCCCAGCUCCGGGCGCCGUGACCUUUUCUUCUCGGAGGCCCUGCGGUUCCAUCAGUGCCGGGUGUCCCAGACGUGACCCGCCCCCGCCCUCGCGACUGGCUUUCGGAAUUGUGCGCCCCGCUUCUGUUAGGAUUACCUCCCGUUUCUCCUUGGAAACUUGGACGUCCACAACUGAUGCCCUUUUCCCCCUGUACUUGCUCCCGUCAGUUGACAGGUGCCAUCGAUUCUACCUCCGCAGUAAUUGUGGCAUCCAGCCACUCUGCGUACACACUGCCUGCACCUCCUCGAGGGUCUCGACCCCUCAACGGGGCAAGUGCAGUACUUUUCCUCUAGCGUCACUCACUCGCCAACCCUGUAGUCCUUUUCAAGCACAGCUGUGAUCAGAAAUCGUCACGGGCUCCCUGUUGCCUGUAGGUUAAGGACCUGAUUUGUGAACUUGGAUUCAAAACGAACGAUUUUCUGCUGUUCCCCUUUCCUCCUCCCUUGUCGGUGGGAAACCAGACCGUAUGAAUCUCUCCCGACCUCCCUUUACCUUCUAAAGAUUGCUCCUGGCUCUUUCUCCUUAGGAAUACUCUUCCUUCCCUAUCUUCGUACACUGUUGAAAUUCUGCCCGUUGUUUAAAGCCACAUAGUGACCUCGCCGUCUGGAAAUAAAUUUUCUUUCUUUGGAAUGUCUGUCAUACUUUCCAAACCAUUCUUCAUGUAUUCAUUCAGUUAUUACCACUUCGUAGUUUCGAAUUAAAACGGGGUGUACGAUUCCUCCCCCUCCUAGACUGUAAACAGACCUCCAUCACUUCUGCAUCCUGGAAUGUGUGACGCUGUGCUUUGUAUAAAGCGAGCACUCCGUAAAUGCAGAACGCAUGUGGAGCUGCCAGCGUUCCAGGCCAUGUUUUAGAAGCACCGACCUAGUAAAAGUGACUAGGACAGCAUGGAUGAGGAGCUCCGAUAGUCAUUACUCGCCUUGGAUAGUAAAGGUGAGAGGGGAAAGAGCAAGGUUGCAAUAACUGAGUAGCGCUCUCCUUAGUGACCGAGUGGAUGGUGGGGGGAAAGGAUUGUGAGCAACCAGGGAGGACUCCAGUUCUGUAAGCCAAGAAAUCCAGACUGAAUGCCCGUAGGGUGAAUUUUUUAAACAUAUGUUUAUUUUGGGGAGAGCGCAAGCGGGUGAGGGGGAGUGAGAGGGGGACAUAGGAUCUGAAGUGGGCUCUGCGCUGACAGCAGGAGCCAGACGUGGGGCUUGAACUCGUGAACAGCGUGUGAUCAUGAUCUGAGUUGAAGUCUGACGCUCGACUGACUGAGCCACUCAGGUGCCCCUAGGGUGAGUUGGUUUCAAGGCAGAAAAUGAGCUCAGAUCUCAAACAGAUUUGGAGACUAUGAGAUGGCUGAAGACAGAGAGGUUAUGGCACAGUAUACAAGUGUGUGAGUCAUCCGUGAAGAAACAACAGUUGAACUCCUCGGUGUAUGUGAUCUUUCCAAAAGAGAAAGUAUUUAUAGAGAAGAGCAGAAGGCCAAGGCCUACGCCUCAGGAAAUACUCCUAUUGAGGAGGCAGGAAUAGGAAAUAUAAACUUGGAAGAAAAGAUGAGAAUAAAUACAUGGUAGCAAUGUCACAGUUGGAAAACUCAGAAAACUGCUUCCCCACCUGGUAUCAGGAGGCAGGGAGGCUAUUUGGGAAAAAGAGGGCUGUUGAGCAGUUUGCUGACUUCCUUCUGACUUUAUUAGGGCAUUACUUCUAGGUAAUGAGGACUCGCACCGGAAAGAGCGUGAUUUCUUUAAUUUCGUAAGCGCUUAGGAGCUCCAAGCUUCUGAGAGUUUCUGGGAAGAACUGUAGAUAAUUCUGACCAAUUUCAAGUGAGACUAUUUCUGCGCAUAAUGUCUUCUUAUAUUCUGUCUGAUAUUUUAUCAGUUUUAUACCUCAUUUUCUGGCAUCGUUGGGGAAUAAUCUGUUCCAUGAAAAGAAAUUUUUCAGAUAACGGACAUUUAGCCUUUAAGCAUUAAAACGUUUUCUCUGGAACCACUUUAAAAAAAAUUUUUUUUAUUUUUAUUUUUUUUAAUUUUUCAGAGAGAGAGAGAGAGCAUGAGUGUGAGCAGGGGAGGGGCAGAGAAAGAGGGAGACACAGAAUGCUAAGCAGGCUCCAGGCUCUGAGCCAUCAGCACAGAGCCUGUUGCGAGGCUGAAACCCACGAGCUGUCAGAUCAUAACCUGAGCCGAGGUUGGGCGCUUAACCGAUUGAGCCAACCAGGUGCACCUCACUGGAACCACUUUUGAUAGAAAUGUACACAAAACGUAGUACUUCUCUGCCAUGAACACAGCAAAUGGGACAUGAUUUAAACUACGCUUGGCAACUAAAGCUUACUGUCACAGCAUCCGUUAUUAUGCUCUGCCGAGUAGUAAAGUCCUUGGCCCUGUUGACACAUCUGGAAAAGACUGCCCUAUGUUAAUUGGCGUUUUUUUGGUCUCUGUUAUUAGUGUUAUAUCUCAAUGGCUUUUCCUCAAGCAGCUCUGUAAAUUAACCUCAUUUACCCAUAAUUUUAAGCCUCACAUUGACCCAGUGAUCUGGAGGCAAAAUACACCAGCAGACAUCCCUGGGGAAUCCUGGCAGCUAAAGAGUCCUUCAUUCAGAGGCUACCUGGGGGAACGUCAGCAUGUUUCCCUGCCCUGACUUUAUCCUCUGCAAAAUGGGAAUAAUAGUCCUCGCUGAUUCUCUUCCUCAUGAGGUUAUGCAGAUGGUCAGAACAGUUGAAACACCGAUUCCAACAGUUGGCAGAUACAAAGGGAAACAUUUAAGACAGUGAGUCAGAAGGAAGGUGAACCCUCCAACGGGAUCGGGGACAUCAGCAAAACAACGCGUGCACGUGGUCACCGGCGCCCGGCUGCACCCGGUGCCGGCCUCCACGCGCUCCCCCAGUGAUACGUGCGCCUCGAGAGCUUCUCCGAAAGGUGUUUGGCAGCUUCCCUGUGACUGAGCCCCCAUUGGCUGGACAUGACCCAAAAGUUCGUUAUUUCUCUGUAGUGAAAGUUACUUCCCCCGCCCCUUUGGUAUUUCACUUUAAUUUGCUCAUUUUUUGUGAACUCUAACACAAAGUUUAGUCAUUUAUUUAACAUGUGAUUUCUGUUCAGAUAGAACUCUAGGAAAAAAAACCCAAAAACCCA